RNAcentral lists this long non-coding RNA (8286 nucleotides) under Homo sapiens (human). RNAcentral's name for it is "non-protein coding lnc-DLK1-35:105". The stretch from base 8081 to 8169 matches the Rfam family "mir-493 microRNA precursor family". The record is from RNAcentral. Lineage: Eukaryota; Metazoa; Chordata; Mammalia; Primates; Hominidae.
GCACCCCACUGUGCUCUCAAUAAAUGUGUUUCCUGUCUUAACAAAAACUGAUGGAUGUGCUACUAAUAUAAGGAGGGGCGAGUGUUGGGCAUCCUGUCUCGCUGGGUAGUGUGAUGGGUGGGAGGGCGGGGGCCGACUUGAACCCCACACACCUGCCAGCACCCUACCCUGCCCACUGGGCUCUCAAAGGGGAGGGUGGCUCUUGGAGGUCCGGAGGUUGACACGUGCUUGGAUGAACUAACAUCUCUCUGGUCCCCUCCUUCUACUGAUCGUGGGAUGCCAGGCUUCUUUCCAGAAGGGACUGUACAGGAGGAGGUGGUGGUGGAGAGGGGUUCUGAGUUGAGCUCACUGCGUGAGUUCCUGGAGCCCCAGAGAGGAAGCUCCCCUGGGGCUCUGAGUCUUCCUCCUCCUCUUCUCACAUUCCCCAGGGCUGGGCUGAGUGGUCAUCAUGCUUGAACUGAUGUUGAGCGAUGGCCAAGAUGGCCCAGCCAGGCUGUGGCUAAACUCAUUCCUCAAAAUGGCUCCUGAGCAAGGCUCUGUGUGUAGGCUCCUGAGCAGGGCUGCAAAGGUGGAGCCUCAGACCCAUCCCUGCCCGCGGCAGCAAUGCCGGCUGAGCUGGGGAGGUGAGCCUUGCACCCCUCAGAGUGGCUUUCUGUGAGCAGCUUGUGGCUGGGCUGAGCGGGGGCACUGAGGGGCAAGGGGCCAAAGGGCACUAGACCCAAGUCAAGACGGAUCCUGAGUCUGCACACCUGGCUUUGCUGCAGCGGAUCAUAAGGACAUGCUCCCUAUGGGGAAGGAGAGACCGACUGCUUUUGCUGCCACAGCCACCACGGCCAUCACAGCUACCACGGCCGCCACUGCCACUGCCACUACCACCACCAUCACAACCAUGGCCGCCACUGCCACUGCCACCUCCUCCCUCUUCUCCUUGCUCUCCUCCUCCUCCUCUUCUUCCUCCUCUUCCUCCCUCUUUUCCUUCCGUCUCCUCCUCCCUCCUCUUCCUCCUCCUCUUCCUCCUCCUCUUCCUCCCACCUUCUCUUCUUCCUCUUCCUCCUCCUCCUUCUUCCUCCUCUUCCUUCCUCUUCUUCUUUCUCCUUCCUCCUUCUCCCUCCCCCUCUUUCUCCCUCUUCGCCUUCCUUUCCUGCCUUCUUCUCCUCUUCCUUUUCCUCCUUCCUUUUUCCUUUCCUUCUCCCUCCUCCUCCUCUUUCUCCCUCUUCUUCCUUUUUGUCCUCCUCCUUCCUUCCUUUCAUUUGUUUCUCCCUCCUCCCCCUCCCCCUCUCUCUUUUUCUUCUCCUUCUUUCUCCUCCUCCUCCUGCUUCUCCUCCUCCUCUCCCUCACAGGGAGGUACCUCAAGAGAACUGCAGGCAAGUCCAGCCGUAAGUGCACAGGACUGAGCAUGGCCCCUUUGCUGAGAGAAACAACCGCCUUGGGGAUCAUGGCCAUGACCUGGCAAAGGAGACCUGACCCCAGCCCCUGAUGGAGAUGGUGACAUGGAUGGCGCUGAGUCAGCAGUGAGAAGAGGAGGAGAUGGCCUUCAGAGUGCACCCCACCUAGAUGAGUCAGUCUGUGCUCAGCCAAGACCAGGCUGAGAGUCCAGGAGAGUCCUGUGUGGUGAGCAGAGUAUCAGCCUUUGAUGAAGCUCAGGUGUCCAGAGCAAGCCACCCACUGAUGUUCCAGAGCCAAGACCCCAGCUCCAGCCUCUGUUGAACCUUGGGCAUUCAGAAUGAGCCACCCAACUUUUGACGUCCCAGAGCUAAGACUCAGUUCCAGCCUCCAAUGAAACCCAGAUGUUCAGAAAGAGGGACCUCCUUGAUGUUCUAGAGCCAGGACUCCAGAUCUAGCAUCAGGUGAUGCUCAGAGGUCUAGAAAGAGGAACCUGCUUAAUGUUCUAGAGCCAAGACUCCAGAUCCAGCAUCUGAUGCUCAGAUAUUCAGAAACAGGGACCUCCUUGAUAUUCUAGAGCCGGGACUCCAGAUCCAGUGUCUGAUGCUCAGAUAUCCAGAAAGAGGGACCUCCUUGAUUUUCUAGAGCCAGGACUCCAGAUCCAGCAUCCGAUGAUGCUGAGAUGUCCAGAAAGAGAGACCUUGAUGUUCUAGAGCCAGGAUUCCAGAUCCAGUGUCUGAAGAAGCUCAGAGGUCCAGAAAGAGGGACCUCCUUGAUGUUCUAGAGCCAGGACUCCAGUUCCAGCCUCCAGUGAAGCUCAGAUGUCCAGAAAGAGGGACUACCUUGAUGUUUUAGAGCCAGGACUCCAGCUCCAGCCUCCGAUAAAGCUCGGAUGUUCAGAAUGAAGGACGUCCUUGAUGUUCUAGAGCCAAGACCCAGCUGUAGCACUUAACAAAGCUCAAGUGUCCAGAAAGAAGUGCCUCUUUGAUGUUCCAAAGCCAAGAUAACACCUCUAUCAUUUGAUAAAGAUCAAGUGUACAGGAAGAGGGACCUCCUUGAUGUCCCUCUUCAGCCAGGACUUCAGCUCUAGCUUUCGAAGAAGCGCAGAUGUCCAGAAAGAGGGACCUCUUUGAUGUUCUAGGGCUGGGACCCAGUUCCAACAUCUGACAAAGCCCAGAUUUCCAGAAAGAGGGGUCUCCUUGAUGUUCCAGAGCUGAGGGACCUCCGUGAUGUUCCAAAGCUAGGACUUUAGCUUUAGUUUUUGAUGAAGCUCAGAUGUGCAGAAAGAGGGACUUCCUUGAUGUUCUAGGGCUGGGACUCAGCUCCAACCUCUGACAAAGCUCAGAUGUCCAAAAAGAAGAGUUUCCUUGAUGUUCUCGAACCCGGACUCUAGCCCUAGCCUCUAAUGAAGCUCAGAUGUCCAGAAAGAAGGACUUUCUUGAAAUUCUAGAGCCAGAACUCCAGCUCCAGCCUCUGAUGAAGCUCAGAUAUUCAGAAAGGGGGACUUCCUUUAUGUUCCAGAGCCAAGACCCAGCUCCAACCUCUGACAAAGCCCAGAUGUCCAGAAAGAGGGACCCCCUUGAUGUUCUAGAGCUGGAACCCAGAUCUAGCCUCUGAGGAAACCCAGGUGUCCAGAACUGGUGAGAAAACCUCAAGCCUCUGGGCUUUCCUGGGCAGGGAUAGGUGUGGCCAAGUUUGUCUUGAGACUGGAGAGGGCAGACAACACUCUUCUGUGCAAUGGUGGCCUGCAACAUUUCUCAAUAGUGACACUGGCAUAAAGAGGGGUCCCAGUUGCAGGAGAGAUGUGGAGAGGGGACUCCUUGUGGGAGGAAGCGUAUUAGGAAGAACAUGGCAGCAGAAAUCAUGGAUUGCAGAUGGGAUGCCUUCGAUGAAGCUUGCCUGAGGGCGUGUAACACCGCAGCAAAGCGCUGUUUUAUGCCUUUUAGUUUUGCUGGACUCAUGGCUGGCCACACAUCAGCCUUGACCCACAGGGCUGCCAAAUUGGCUGGACCCCGGAAUGUAACCCAAGCUAGUUUCUGCGGCUUAGCUCCUCUCCCAGUGGAAGGUGCUAAACCCCCACUUGCCAGCCCAGUGUAAAGCUGCAACCUUGGGGCGAGUCAGAUCUGGUUGCCUCCUUCUAGCAAUGGAAGUUCAUCUAGGUUAGGACUGGGGCAGGGCCAGGCUAUCGCAAUGGGUGUGAAGACAGCAUGAACGGCAAAGGAGGCCCCCAAAUACGUGGGGAUAUGGAUGCUAAUGUCUCAGGUGAAGCUGCAUUUGGGGCUGCAGCCCUGCCCUGAGCACCUUGACUCUACCACUUGCCCUCCAGGAGCUCCAUUGACACCAGACUGUCCAUUAAGCUGGAGAGAGAUGGCAAGUAAAGAAAUAGGCCAGGAAUACUGACUUGCUCAGAAGCCAUAAGAGCAUUACAGGUAGAUAGAAUCCAAGGGACGAAAAAUGUAGACUUGGGGAGGAGAGAGCGCUGAAUGCUAUUUGGGAUGUUUGAGCUCUGCAAUAUCCAGAAUGGGAGAGAAUCUUAUCUCACCAGUUUUGCCAUUCAGACACAGCUAUGAGAAUGGAUCCUAGAGGACGACUUACUUCAUUCAGCUGGAGUCUGGAGGAAAAGGGAGCAGCUAACAAGCAUUCUUGAAAAACACGCCCUAAUGAUGCCACAUCAUUCUGGUGAUAUUUCCUAGAAACUCAUUAGAACUUGGAACUGUGCAAACAAGAACUUCUUUGAUGAGUAACUGGAACUCGAGAGUUGGGAUUGCAUGAAGGAGAAAUGUCAUCUUAGAGGACUGCCUCCCCGCUCCCCACCCUCAUUUGGCCAAGUUAUUUUAGGAAAUUUCCAAGAACAAGCAAUUAGAAUCACUCAUUGCUGAUUUCCUAGAAGUCUCCACAACAGAUUCUGAAGCCAAAUGCAAAAUGGGUGAGCCCAGCUUGUGAGGCCUGUGAAGAAAAUGUGAAUCCUACUCUAUAAAGUCGUUGGCCUCAGGGAGCAAGACUCAGAAGUAGAGCUGCGUUAGGGAAAAUGAGGACAGAACAGAAGGUCUAGAUGGCCAGGCAGAGCCCCGUGGCAAAGACGAGCCUUGAGAUGACUGUGGGCCCUCCCCUGCCGGCAGCCACAGCCUGUCUCAGACUCACUCCUCAGAGCCUGUUUCUCCAUCACUCCCUUUGUCCUUCUGCCCAUCAGAGGGAUGUUCUCCAGGCUUCUGUGUUGCUAUCUGGCUUCCGUGGGCCAUGGCUUGAGCCAGGCUGUGGGCUCUGGGUGACUGUCCCUGAGGUAUGGUGAGCUUCCUGAGUGGUGGCCACUUGGCAAAGUGAGUCCAUCGCAGGGAAGUGGGCAAUUACCGGGGAGAGGAAAAUCAUGGCUUUCUUGCUUCCCAAGAGGGGCUGAACUGGGCUCCCAAUUUCCCUGACACUCCCAGCUCAGCUUGUAGAGGAAUCAGGGAAUGGAGAUGCCUUGGGCUGCAAUUUUCUUUGAGAUGACUGUAAUUUUCCCCUCUUAUCCUCACCGGUAGCUGCUGUGGGACAGAGGCAGGCGGGGCUCUGAAAGCUUUUCCUCAAGCUCCCCUUCAGUGCAGAGCUGUUUUCACGUGCCCACCAGCCAGCAGGAGGUUAUGCUUCUGAUUGUGACCCCCUACUUCUCAGAAGACACUUCGGACUCCGCCCCCGCCUCCAUACCCAACAAUGCCGUGCGGCAUUUCGUGUGACUGGAAUGGAAAUCCAACCUGGCCCUCGAGGGCAGUGAAGCCAGUCCGAAUCGCAGCAGAUGAUGCCCUCUGCAGAGGCCGGGCUCAUGAACGGCCUGGGUGGGUGGAGGUGGGUUGACAGGAUGGGGUGGGCAGGGCAGGGGAGUGCAGGACAGUGACCAGCUGGUCCAGAGAGUCCUGCCAAAUUCAAUCCAGAUAUUACUGGAUUAAUCAGCAAAGGAGGGGGAGCCCCGCCCCCACCCCAUGGAGACACUGAUGAGCACCAUGGGAUAGCUGUGGCUUCCCAGGCAGCCCACGGACCUACAGCUGCCUAUCAGCAGCCAGGGCCUUCUGGGCAGAGCGCCUCGGACCCCCAAUUGCCCUGGGAGGGUGGGUUUUUGGUGUCAGCUUAGUUCAGCUCAGCUGGCUUUUAUAGAGCAUGCACUGGCUGGCUCACUGGGGUGAUGCUGUCGUGGGGUAGAUGAGCAGCAAGGCAGAUUCGCAGGGUUGGGUGCAGGCAGCACUCCAUGGGGGCAUGCACGGGGCCCUUGCUUUUCAAGCAGAGGUGGACUGAAGGCUGGGCUUGCAAGGGGGUGGGCUGGGGUGGGCGCUGGUAGGGUGUUCUGAAACAUUACCUAUAUACCUGCACUUUACAAAGCACUUUAUAUGUUUGCCUGGUGUUGGCUGAUGGUGGAAGGAGUGAUUGGAGAUGCCUGUCUGUGGCCUGGGUGCUGGUUAGUACCCCCAUGUCAGAGGUACUGACCCUGGGCUCAGAGCGGGUAGAGGCUCUCCCAGGGAUUCUCGAGUGUCUACAGGGGGACUGGGAUUCCCUUCCUGGGACCAGGAGGCGGGGCUCUUCCUGAGAUGCUAUGGCUGGAGGCCCUCCUCCCCCAGAAUCACAGGGCCAUAUGCUAGGAGGAAAGACCCUGUAAACUCCAGACCUGACCUCCUGGGACCUGGGGUUAGUCACCCAGGUGGGGAUCUGCCUCUCUUGCCCUUCAUUUAGAAUUGGCUGUGAGCCUCUAAGGGCCAGCCCUUAGCCAAAAGCCUCCAUGCAGCCCGGUGCUCCUGCAGAAGUGCUGCCUCCGGAGGGUUUCUGCAACUUGGGACUCCUGGCAGUGGGGCUAGUGUCCUCCAUUCACCCCUGCUCCUGCACAGUCCCCAGCCCUAGGUGUGCACCCUCUAGUGUGGGGCGAAUGGGCUCCUAUGCCCAUUAGCUCUGGGUUAGGCUCAGAUGUAUGUGCCGGGCUCCUGUUAUGGGAGGGCUCAGAGCACAGGGGCCCCUGGCCUGGGAGCGGGUAGCUGUGUGCAUGUGUGUGGGUGUGUGUGCCUCCAUGAGCCUGUGUGUGCCUUCGUGAGCCUAUGAGUGUGUGAGCAUGCCCGGUGUGCACGUGUGUGGGUGCGUGUGCCUGCCAGUGCAUGCGUAUGCAGCUCUAUGCUUGUGUGUAUGUGCAUGCGUGGGAGACAGAUGGUGGAGAGCGACUGGGAGUGGGCGACAGUGGAUCUGUCCCUGAGCCUACAGCACCCUGGGUGCCGAUGCCACAUCCACAUCCUGCCCCCAGACCUGCUUCCCGGAGUCACCCAUGCCUAUAUCCCCUGUGGCUUUGCCCAUCAGUCCGUCUUUGUGUCCAGGUCUGCCUCAGUGGACAGAAGAGUGAGAGUCUUGGCCCUUGAACCCCUCCUCUUCUCCAUCCUUCUCCACCUCCCCCCCUGCCUCUUCUUGGCAAAGCAGCUGGAGUGAGACCUGGGCUGAGGCCAAGGUUGGGGGUACUGUGCUCCCAUGAGCUGCAGACACCGUCCUCUCACCGGCUCUCCCUCCUGUGUCCUGGAGUGGAACCCACCCCCGUUGCCCACCCCUUAACCCCUGCCCCCUUGUCUGGGGUUCUGGCCAUCCCCCCCACCCCCACCCCCUAGUCUCCAGCUUCCAAGGCAGCUCCCAAGACAAUGGGUUGAGCAAGGGGCAGGCUGGGUCCUGUGCCUAGCCCCUCAGCUCCCCCAGCCACUGCAUGGGGCUUCUGCUGCUCUGUGGCACUGGCUGGGGAACCUCAGGACCAGAUGGGGCCUCCCAGGCCUCGGCUACUGCAUCACGCUCUGGACAGGGCCUUGGGCCCGGACGACGCCUGUGCCCGCCAUGCCCUCUGGCCAGAUGCUGCACCCUCCACCCAGCCUCCAGGUGAGUUCUCGUCAUACCCACGGUGCCCCACCCUCCUUGGCAUCCAGGUGAUGCAUCUACCUGAGGUUCCGAAUCCAGGGGGGAAAUGUUUGCCUUUGCACUGCAUAUUUACACACUGAUUUGAAUUGAGGGGUUCCCAAAAUGACAUCAGGCUUUUUCUGAAAAAGUCUGUUUUGCCCGAUUGGUUUGCCAGUGAGGUUCAGAGUGGACAAAUCAAAAUGAGCUGAUUCCAGACCUCUGAGGUUUUGACAAGUGCUCCAUACCUAGCAUUUGUCACAUCUAUAUGCUAUAGUAUAUGCCAGAGGCCACCUCAUUGCAACUUUGUAAACUUCCUAUUAACUUUUACGGCCCAUUUAAAAAUGGGCUAUGGGAGGGGGAGAUCCGUGGCUUUCCAAAAUCCCUUCAUGGGGUCUGUAAGCAGAAAUGUCUGCUGCCCCCUGUUCCAGGGCACGUCCCACUCCUCACUGGCAGGGCUCUCGGGCUCACUGAUUAUUCUCUGAGGAUCACACAGGGUCGAUUUUCUGUGAAUGCAAGUGCGUGGGGUGGGUGGUGGGGCGUCGAGCUGAACGCUGGUCUGGACAGGAAAGGCUCCUGCUUCAUGUCCCACCUUGACCCUCAGAGGUUUCCAGGCCCAGCUCUUGGGCCCUGGCUUCCUCCUCUCCCUCUCGUCUUUGGGGGGGGUCCAUCUCAUGCAUGUCUGUUACCAUGGACUCCAUCAUCACGGCUCCCAUCACCUCCAUCUGGCCUCUGUCAUCCUGGGCACAGCAUCUCAUCUCUGGCCAUUCCAGCCUCCAUCACCCGCCUCACCUCCAUCAUCCUCGCUUCGGGGCUCAUUCUGGCCUCCAGGGCUUUGUACAUGGUAGGCUUUCAUUCAUUCGUUUGCACAUUCGGUGAAGGUCUACUGUGUGCCAGGCCCUGUGCCAGGCAUCGUGUAGAUGGACGUUGCCCUUGUGAGUGCACGCCUCGGGGAGACGCACGCCAGCCGGUGGAUGGCAGGAGAGCCUGGGCCAGGGCUGGGGGUGGGGGCGUGGGUGUGGGCAU